GUUUUUAGCUAUAUAAAAGGGUCUGUACACAAUUAUUUUACAAAAAACACCGUGGUGGAACCCCCUCACCCAUGUUUUGAACAGCCUUAUAAGAUAAGAUUAUGCAGCCACUGAAGUCAAUAGCAAAACUCUCACUUAAUUCAAUAGGAUCAGGCCCGGGAUGUGGCACUGAAAAUGGAGUAUUACAUUUUUGCAGUCAAUACGGCAAGAUACAAGUAUGAAGAAGUAUUGGUAAGAGAAUUUGUAAUAUUUGUGACUAAACAUGAAAUUAAUAUAUUUGUUCAUAGAGAUCUGAUUGUGAACAAGGUACAGAGAGCUGUACAGGAUACAAGGACUAUAUCACAGUUGGCAUGAUUCAUCUCUACUACUCAAUAGCUUUUUAAAAAGUAGAAAAGAUGGCCACAACAUACCAUACUUAUUUUGAUAUGGAGAAUCAUGUGACAACUAGUUAGCAAGGUCAAAAUAGAUUGUAUGGCUUACUACCAUUCAGAUGUAUUACUACACAUCAUCUCUUUAUAAAACCACACUAGAGGAUUACCUCCUCUGAAUCUGUGGUUGGUAUAAAAUGAUCUCUGCCACACCUGCAUUAUAACUGGUUCAGAGUAUACACAGACAUUUAGUGCCAAUAACUAACACCACCAGUUUAAAGUUACUUUAAUUGUCCAAAAAAAAAAGAGUUAUGCCUGAAGUCAUUCUGUAUGGUGAAAUCAAAACUACUAUUUUCUGUCCAUUUUCUCAAGCCUCACCAGUAGCAAAAUGCAAACAGGAAAAAGAUUUCCUGGGCUGGAUUUCCUGUCACACUUCUGCUCUUACUAUUUUGGACUCUCUUGAGAAAGGCACAUUAAUAGCUGAGUUUUAGUAAUACUCCACCCUUAUUCAGUGCUUUGAAAGUGUAAAUUCCCAACUAAAUAAGGAGUGUUGCGGCCACAAAGGAUGUGCUAUUGAUAUUCACUGCCGAGCGAAUAAAAAUAAAUAAAAUAAAUAAAUAAAUAAAAACCUAACCAGAAAUCAAUGUACCACAAAGGACUGUGUUAGGCUGAGUCUGUUAAUUCUGCAACAUUACAAGCAAUAUCUACAGAAAAUUUUACUGCAUUCUUUGCCAGUGAUUACACUUAUUUAUUUCAAUUCCACAUGAGCUGAACCAAUACUGCAGGGGUGGCCAACCUGUGGCUCUGGAGCCACAUACAGCUCUUCAGAGGUUAAUAUAGGGCUCCUUGUAUAGGCACCGACUCUUGGGCUGGAGCUACAGGGGCCAACUUUCCAAUGUCCUAGGGGUGCUCACUGCUCAACCCCUGGCUCUGCCAUAGGCCCUGCCCUCACUCCAUCCCUUCCCAUGCCCUCUCCUGAGCCAGCCUUGCCCUCGCUCCUCCCCCCUAAAAAGCCUCCUGCAUACCAUGGAACAGCUGAUCGGGAGGUGCGGGGAGGGAGGGAGAGGUGCUGAUCGCUGGGGCUGCUGGUGGGUGGGAGGCCCUGGGAGCAGGGGGGGGGGGGGAGCUGACAGGGGGUUGCUGAUGUAUUACUGUGGCUCUUUGACAAUGUACAUUGGUAAAUUCUGGCUCCUUCUCAGGCUCAAGUUGGCCAUCCCUGCACUACUGGAUGCAACCUUCCAGCAGCUCAGUUUUUGGCACUACUUUUUGCAUUCUAAGUACAUUAUUACAAAGCAAUUGCCUCUUAUAUUAAAUUGAAACUAAUAAAAUACCUGGCAUUUUCACAAUGCUUUUUUAUCCUGAUUUCCUGAAAUACUUUACAAAGGAGGGAAAGUAUCCUCUCAUAUCUUGUAGACAGGAACACAAAGAAUAAAAGCAAACUUGCUUAAAUAUAGCCUCUUUACUCAAAUAAAACAUGGCUGUAGUAAUUCUAGGGUUGCAAAGGAUUCUGCAAUUCUUUAGCAGUGAAGCAUUUGAUUGCAAACACUACUGCUGAUACACUGUCUACUCUCUUUAGUGCAAUAAAUACCAAACGGAAUAUUAUCUUGUGAUUCAAAAGGCUUCACCUGCAACACUUUUACUGUGAUUUUGUUAGGUUUCAGAAUCUAUAAAAUAUUUUAACAAGCCAGCACUUGGUUGGUUUGCAGGCCUAUGGGGUACAUCAGUGGUGCUGAAAGAGUUGUGUAAAUGAUUCACAUCAUCCUAAUGGCUUACCAAAAACAUAUUAAAAACAGUGGAGACACUUAACUAGGUUUUCAUUUUUACACACUAAGAAAAAUAAACAUAACGAGUUGUGAUUCUUCAUAGAGUAGUAAUUAUGUAAUUAAGUAGUACAUUUUAAGUCUUUUAUAAUUGUACAUUUUAGUUUUACAUGUACACAGUGUUUCAUGCUAUAACAUAUUACAUAUAUGUAAUAAAUGCUAUAGAAUAAAAUGGAUUAGACUGUAUUGUGUGUGGAAUAAUACAUGAGGCAGCAUAUCUAAUAUAUAAAAGCUGCUGAACUCUUGUCUACAAAAGGGCAUCCACCAAGGCAGCUGAGCUAGUGGUAGCACUGGGGGGAAUAUUUUGUUAAAAUUAAUGUGGACACAGCCAGAAAGCACCAUAUGUGCUAAUACCAUCUAGGCUAUGUCAAUCUUAAUUCUGAAUAUUGUUCCUGAGUGGUGGCACAAAUCACAUUAGAUUACAGUGCAACAUCACUACUUCAGUUGCGCUCUCCCAACACAUCAUGUGACACCGCAGCAUGGCGGGGUACACGACAGCUGACGGGCUGGUCUGCAACAGAGCCACACAGCUCUGUAAGGACAGGGUACCCGCAGGCAUGAAGCCAGCGGCCAUUACCAAACUCUCAGCUCGUUUCCUUGGCUACACAGGUUGCCAAGCCCCUCGCUAGCAAAGGAGGUGGAAAGGCCACUGCACGAGCCCCCCGCCCUUAUGCCCCGUUUUCCAGCUCGGCACUGCAGUAACACAUAGACCAAGGAGGAGGGAGAAGCAUCGUUCUCCUUAACCUCUGAGGACAGCACAAGCAGCAACGGGCUUAAACCGCUUUAGGCUGAAGAUUAGGAGAAACGCCCUGUCAGGGCGGCUGAGCCCUGGAAUAAAUCGCAGAGGGAGGCUGAGGAAUCUCCCUCACUGGGGAUUUUUCAGAGCCGCUUGGACAAACACCUGCCAGGGACGGGCUAGAAGAGUAGCGGGACUAGCGUGAGGGGCGGGGGGGGGACAUGAAGGGGGCGGGGGUUGACCCCAGGGGCUAGCCGGAGUGGGGAGGGUGACAGGCCAGACAAGGGAGCGGCUCGUGUCAGCGGGGUGCACGGGGGAGGCCUGGUGGGCAAGGGCUCACCACCCCGCCGCGCCCCAAGGUGCCCGCACGGGACAGCGGAAGGUGGGAUCGGGGCACCCCACGUCCCGCUCGGCCCCCGCGGAUCUCGGACCCACCUUGGCCAGGAUGUGGCCCUGGUGCGCGGCCAGCGGCAGGGUGAGGCCGGUGCGCAGGGCGGCGCCGGCGCACGCGAUACUGAGCCACCAGGGCAGGCCGGUGCCCGCCUGCAGCGCCACCAGCCCGCUCUCCGCCCAGUGCACGGCGGCCGACUCCGCCAGCGCCUCGUACAAACCGCCCGGGCUCGCGCCGGGCAGGGAGGCGGCGGCGGCGGCGGCGGCCCCAGCGCGUGACCCCCAGCCAGGCGACAGCAGGAGCCGCGCGCGGAGGGGCCUCAGCAGCUCCUGCCCCACGCGCCGGCAGCACCACAUCGCGCGCGCGCGCGCGCCGAAAGUCCCCGCGGCCCGUAGGUUGGGCGGGGCGGGGUGACCCAGCGCGUCCUCCUCCCGCGCGCGCCCCGAACUCUCCGGCUCUCAGCCCGGAAGGGGCGCGGUCGUUAGCUUCCGGCCGGCCACCGAGCGGGCGGCUGAGACCGCGGCCUAGAGGCGGCCCGCGCGCAGCUGCGGGAGGCUGGGAGAGGCGCCAUGUUGGACGGGGGCCGGUUUUGCGCUGAGUCAGACCCCUCCCCGCCUACGUUGGAGACCGGAGGAAGAAGCGGGCAUGGCUUGUGAGGCCGUGGGGUGGGACUGGGCAGGGAACGGAGGAGGCCAGCAUGGGGAGGCGAGGCGGGUGUGGGCUUUGAAGGUAGUUCGGGUCAGGCUGAUGCUGGAGCGCGGGCUCCAGUGUCAGGUGUGGGAACCUGGGUCGCUGUGGCCAGUGCGGAGUUCUCAGUAUUACUGGUAUCUGCUCUGCUAGUGGAAAGGCGUCAAGUAGGCCCUGAGGCCAACCCUGUGCUAAGGCAUCUGCCCUCCUGGAUCCGGGGUCUGCCUCCCUUCCCUUGUGAGGUAUUUGGGCCUCUUUGCGUUCGUAUGAUUCACAAGCAGGUCGGCUGGAGGGAGUCCCAACCUCAUCCUCAUGCGAAACUGAGGGUGGGAGGGGUGGAUGAGGAGAUUGAAAACCACCUGCUGCAGGCACCACAAGGAGUUGUACCUGCGGAGCCAGUCUGCUUUUGGGUUCAGGUGCCCUUUCAUGUGGAUCGCUCUGAGGGAAAGGAGGAACUGCUCUGCUCCCCUUGUUAUUUCCACGGGUAGUGCUAGACACCUAGUUUCCCGUUGGUUGUUCAAAUACCCCUCUGUAGCCUUAUUGUCUGAUUGAACCAGGAUGUGGGUCCCCUUAGUGUUGAGCCUGGAACCUUUGUAGAGCUACCCUGACGGCUCUCAGCUCUAGAAGGUUGCUGUUGUGAACCUUUUCCUCCGUGCUCCAGAGGCCCUUGGUGUGUGUUGCAAGGACUAAAGGAUUUGGAAGGCAGAGGAGCAUGGCUUUGUGGAUGCUGUCAUGGACUGACCACUGUUAAAGGAGUUGAACACCUGUGCUGGAACCCAUACUUGAUUUUUCAUGUGCUGUAGGGAGUCCUAUAUCUUUCAUAUGAAAGUUUGAAGACUUCGGAUGCAUGCUUGUGCCCGUGGAGCGAUCCCUAUGUACAGCACUAGGAGUCCUUGCAGUUGGAGGCAUAGUGCCUCCUGUGGCUCUGCAGCAAGAAAAUAAAUUCUUGGGUAAAACCAAACAACUUUUCUUGGUACUGAUGAUGAAGCUGUGCACAUGGAGGAAAUUCCACAUCCAAGAUGUAGCCUUGAGCACUGCUGAUGGGGAUGGAGCGCUGAUCAGGAUGUUGUCCAGGAAGGGAUACAGUGAACUCCCGGAUAGCAUUGAUGUUACAGCCUCCUCUUCCAAUGACUCUGGAAAUUACUGUUGAUGGGACAGAAACCUUCUUUGAUCUACACAGAAAAAAAGUACUAAGUCAACUGGAGAAGCGAUGGUGGUCUGAAAUAAGAUGAAGAUCAGCAGGAAGCUAUGAAGUUUGAAAGAGAUCCUGAGUUGGUGUUUAAGAGGAAAAAUUUAUCACUCCUACUCUCAAACUAAUACAUUCAUUUUAACUGCAAGAUGGGGAACAAUGAAAAAAAUGUUCUGUCAAAAAAAGAUACAUAAAAAGGGGUAACACUACUGGCAUGUUUGACUUUGCAUAUGCACACAUACCUUCUUACAACCUCCUUCCAUCCUUCUUCUCUCUUCUGACCACGUUUAGGGCUAGCUAUGGUUAAUUUUCCAUUUGGAGAAGAAAGGGGAGAAGGUCCAGAUUUUGUGCAAGUGGACAAGGAGUUGCUGGUUACUUCACUGAUAACCUCAGACAAUCUUUAAAAAAAAAUAAUUCGGUGCUUUUAGAUAAAUUAUUUCUUCAAACUCAGUGUAAGACACAAACCAUGUGGCCAUUUUUCUUUGGCCUUUGGGCACUAAGCUUGUUAGGAUCUCCAGCAUUUUAGAAAAUCAUAACUUGAUAGAGUUAGCACAUAUCUGCCCAGAUACACAAGUGCACUAAGCACAAGUGAUCAUUCAUUAAAUAUAGUUAAUGUACAUAUGCAGCAAAAUAUCUAAACAGUAUUUUAGCAACUAACUAAUAGCUAAUUUGAUUUUGCUAUUUUUUCCCCUUCUGCUGAAAGCUAGGAACAGGUUCACUGCAUCUGAGGAAGAUGCAGAGAAAUAAACUACCUAGAAUACUGGAGAAGCAGGAUAUAUCAAUACAAUAGCAGUAUGGACUUCAUUUUUUCCUCUUAUAUGUCUGACAGGAUUAGGAUUAACCAGCCAGUAUGAAUUUUUGUAUGUGGCAUUUUGGAAUGCAUCUAGAAACAUAAUAUUCAAAAGUUUCAUUUGAACUUUUAAAACCACCAAUGAAAUAGCCACUGGAUUAGGUGCCACUUGAACUCAGCAGCAUGGUACCUGAAACCUAGGCUAAAAUACUCCCCUUUUACUUGCUGGCAUUGCUAAAAGACUAGCCACUAGUCAUGACACCUGUUGCCAAAGAACACUGACUAUACUAACGCUGAACUGACUGAAAUGCUUCUGUCUGGGAAACCAUAUAUAGCAAGACAACCCACUGGUUAAAAAUUUGUGGGUAGGCUUCAUACCUCAGCCUACUGUUUUAAAUAAUUCAUGAUCUGAAAAUGUUGCAUCUCCUCAUACAAUAUUUAUAUUCAUAUAAAUAGAAAAGCAAGGAUAUUUGUGCUCUUUCUGUUUUAUUCUUGUACUUUACAAGACUCUAAUGAGGCUAUGAAAAAUAGAUCUUGAAAAUCAUUUUCAGCAGGAAGUUCCAAUUAUUUUAUACUGGGAGUUAUUACGCAUGGCCACAAUAACUUACUUGAUUGAUGAUUUGCCAGAAAUUGCUUUCCUCUCGUCCUUUGGAAAAGUGACAAGUACUGAUGGCUGUUUCUUGUUGCUCAGCGUGUUAGUGGCUGCUGUGGAAGAAUGACUCUCACUUUUGUGGCUGCUGUUGCUAUUGCUGCUUUCGUCACUACAGCUGGAAAUCCUCAUGUUAUCACUGUCACCACUUUCACUGGUACUGCUGCUCUUCGACUCGCCAUUGGCUUUUUCUGAUUGACCAAAGGAGAUUGGGAGCUGAUCAUCAAAUAGAAUCUGAACAUUAUCUGGGUGAAUUUUGUUUUUCCUGCUUUUCCUCUUGGAGCUGGUUGUGGUGAUGGUAUUGUUCCUUUUCCCAUGGGAACCUGCUAACGUAGUCCACGUUGCAGAUAUACCUAUGGUGGUUGUAGUGGUGGCACAUGGAGGCUCCAUUAGGACUUCAGG
Dermochelys coriacea (leatherback sea turtle) is the source of this 7032-nucleotide long non-coding RNA. RefSeq lists it as uncharacterized. Lineage: Eukaryota; Metazoa; Chordata; Testudines; Dermochelyidae. The record is from RefSeq and is a predicted model, not a curated record. The transcript has 3 exons.